RNAcentral lists this unclassified non-coding RNA (331 nucleotides) under soil metagenome. Its description in RNAcentral is "partial contains 5.8S ribosomal RNA, internal transcribed spacer 2, and large subunit ribosomal RNA". The stretch from base 1 to 120 matches the Rfam family "5.8S ribosomal RNA", at positions 35 to 154 of the family's 154-position model. The record is from RNAcentral.
GAUGAAGAACGCAGCGAAAUGCGAUAAGUAAUGUGAAUUGCAGAAUUCAGUGAAUCAUCGAAUCUUUGAACGCACAUUGCGCCCCCUGGUAUUCCGGGGGGCAUGCCUGUUCGAGCGUCAUUUCACCACUCAAGCCUCGCUUGGUAUUGGGCAACGCGGUCCGCCGCGUGCCUCAAAUCGACCGGCUGGGUCUUCUGUCCCCUAAGCGUUGUGGAAACUAUUCGCUAAAGGGUGUUCGGGAGGCUACGCCGUAAAACAACCCCAUUUCUAAGGUUGACCUCGGAUCAGGUAGGGAUACCCGCUGAACUUAAGCAUGUCAAUAAGCGGAGGA